UAUAUUUAAGCAUGUAAGCAGCAUACUAUGUCAAAUCCCAAGAAUACCAUCAUCGACUUGUUAGUGUUCAUAUGCAAAUAUAAAUACAAAAGGGCCUUUCAUUGACUAAUGUUAUAGGAAAUGGCAUCAUACUAUGCAGUCAAAUCUGCUUGUUAGUAUGUUAGGUUUAUUAUUAGUUCUUUCACCCGUUCAGCAUUGUUCAAUUUUGGGUUAUAUACAAGGCUUGGAUUGAAUGAAGAGGUUCGACGAAGCUAAAGCUGAACUUGAGGAAAUUGUUCACUACCUACGAGAUCCUAAGGCCGCACUUGAAGAAAUCUUAUAUCAGUUUGAGGAAAAACUCCAAGCUGAAAGAGAGGAAGCUGCUAGGAAGCAGGAAGAGUUGCAAGCACAACUACAAGCUCAACAGGCCGCACUUGAAGAAAACCAAAGUUUGCUGCGCCAAGCCCAAGAGGAAGUGAAGGGGAUGCAUACCAAGUUUGAAGAGACCAAUGCACUGCUAUGAGCUGUCCUGAAACUUUAGAAAGAUUGAGGUAGGGAUGCAUACCAAGUCUGAGGAUGAUGUCUUUGCUUAAGGUUUUUCUACCUUGCUAGAACAUAUCUGUGGUUAGAACUUUGUCAGAACUACGUGCAAUCUGUUUGAAUGCUUCAAACCUUUGUGGUGGAACCUUUGUAUGUUUGAACCUCUGUUGUGGAAGAACUAGUGUGCUGGAAUUGUGUAUGACUUGUGAUGAGAAUGUUGUGUAUGAUGGCUUUUCUGUGUA
Zea mays is the source of this 761-nucleotide long non-coding RNA. RefSeq lists it as uncharacterized. Lineage: Eukaryota; Viridiplantae; Streptophyta; Magnoliopsida; Poales; Poaceae. The record is from RefSeq and is a predicted model, not a curated record. The transcript is spliced from 2 exons.